This 499-nucleotide ribosomal RNA is filed under the name uncultured bacterium. Its description in RNAcentral is "partial 16S ribosomal RNA". It matches the Rfam family "Bacterial small subunit ribosomal RNA", at positions 30 to 523 of the family's 1533-position model. The record is from RNAcentral.
AUUGAACGCUGGCGGCAUGCCUUACACAUGCAAGUCGAACGGCAGCGCGGACUUCGGUCUGGCGGCGAGUGGCGAACGGGUGAGUAAUGUAUCGGAACGUACCUUUCAGUGGGGGAUAACGUAGCGAAAGUUACGCUAAUACCGCAUAUUCUGUGAGCAGGAAAGCAGGGGAUCGCAAGACCUUGCGCUGAUUGAGCGGCCGAUAUCAGAUUAGCUAGUUGGUGAGGUAAAGGCUCACCAAGGCGACGAUCUGUAGCGGGUCUGAGAGGAUGAUCCGCCACACUGGGACUGAGACACGGUCCAGACUCCUACGGGAGGCAGCAGUGGGGAAUUUUGGACAAUGGGGGCAACCCUGAUCCAGCCAUGCCGCGUGAGUGAAGAAGGCCUUCGGGUUGUAAAGCUCUUUUGUCAGGGAAGAAGCACCGGCUCUAACACAGUCCGGGAAUGACGGUACCUGAAGAAUAAGCACCGGCUAACUACGUGCCAGCCGCCGCGGUAA